This 347-nucleotide ribosomal RNA is filed under the name uncultured bacterium. RNAcentral describes it as "bacterial SSU rRNA". It matches the Rfam family "Bacterial small subunit ribosomal RNA", at positions 8 to 350 of the family's 1533-position model. The record is from RNAcentral.
AGAGUUUGAUCCUGGCUCAGGACGAACGCUGGCGGCGCGCCUAACACAUGCAAGUCGAACAGAGCUUAGAGAGCUUGCUUUUAAGCUUAGUGGCGAACGGGUGAGUAACGCGUGAGUAACCUGACCUAGAGUGGGGGACAACAGUUGGAAACGACUGCUAAUACCGCAUAAGCCCACGGUACCGCAUGGUACUGAGGGAAAAGGAUUUAUUCGCUUUAGGAUGGACUCGCGUCCAAUUAGCUAGUUGGUGAGGUAACGGCCCACCAAGGCGACGAUUGGUAGCCGGACUGAGAGGUUGAACGGCCACAUUGGGACUGAGCAAACGGCCCAGACUCCUACGGGAGGCA